This 468-nucleotide ribosomal RNA is filed under the name uncultured bacterium. Its description in RNAcentral is "partial 16S ribosomal RNA". It matches the Rfam family "Bacterial small subunit ribosomal RNA", at positions 28 to 507 of the family's 1533-position model. The record is from RNAcentral.
GACGAACGCUGGCGGCGUGCUUAACACAUGCAAGUCGAACGGAAAGGCCCUGCUUUUGUGGGGUGCUCGAGUGGCGAACGGGUGUGUAACACGUGAGUAACCUGCCCUUGACUUUGGGAUAACUUCAGGAAACUGGGGCUAAUACCGGAUAGGAGCUCCUGCGGCAUGGUGGGGGUUGGAAAGUUUCGGCGGUUGGGGAUGGACUCGCGGCUUAUCAGCUUGUUGGUGGGGUAGUGGCUUACCACGGCUUUGACGGGUAGCCGGCCUGAGAGGGUGACCGGCCACAUUGGGACUGAGAUACGGCCCAGACUCCUACGGGAGGCAGCAGUGGGGGUUAUUGCACAAUGGGCGGAAGCCUGAUGCAGCAACGCCGCGUGCGGGAUGACGGCCUUCGGGGUGUAAACCGCUUUCGCCUGCGACGAAGAGUGAGUGACGGUAAUGGGUAAAGAAGCAACGGCUAACUACGUG